Molecule: long non-coding RNA, 856 nt
Organism: Haliotis rufescens (red abalone)
Lineage: Eukaryota; Metazoa; Mollusca; Gastropoda; Lepetellida; Haliotidae
Exons: 2
Source: RefSeq, a predicted model, not a curated record
CGCAAUAUAAAAGUUGUGACCACGCCUAAACUUCGCGACUACAGUAUCUCGUGGAAGUGAGGGACGGGCAGCUUUGCCCCGGGGUAGGGGGAUAACGGUUUGGAUAUACUAAUGGGUGAUGAUUGAGUGCUGUGGAUCGAAAAACACUGAACAUGAUCCGUCGCUGAUGUUUAUCCACGGGAAAAACCCAUGAGGUCAUGCCAAGGUCAGAGGUCAGGUCAUAUGACAGGAACACAAUGAUCCCACGAUGGGAAAAACAACGACGGUAAAACUACAAACAUUCUGGAUUUUCCGUCUUUUAUUGUGGCAACAUACGUACGAGGCCGAUCCGGUUUCGACAUGAUUCGAUUCGUCCUACCCAAAGAAAAUAAAACAACUUUCUUUGCUGUGAGACUUUGGCUGGAAAGAAACUGGUUUCGUUUUCAGAAUGAGUUUAUACAAAAAUAACCCAAACAGUAAAGUAUGUUCGGCUUGUUUGUUUGUGGUACGCUGAGAUCCAUGUAUAAGCGAUGUCUCUCCUCUGAAAAUGGACUGCCAGAAUCUGUGAACAUAAAAAGAUAUUUAAAACAAACAAAUCGGUAAACGUCAAAAUUGAAAUAUAUACCUCUAGAAAACGAACGAAGCACCUCACAAAAAGAACCUAUUUCACAGUGAACAUUAUCUUCUGGCAAUGACAUCGUGACGGCUGUUAACAAGAUUGUGUCAUCAGCGCAAAUAACUCAGUCAACUAGUUUUAGGUUCGACAGGAAAACUGUUUGUUUACUUUACAGAUUGUGAGCGACUGGGAGCCUCGUUGUGCAAUAGCUUCUCAUCAUAAGUAUGCAAUGAAGAAUAAAUGUUUUUUACAUGUUUAAAA